GGGGUUUGGGGGGGAACACCCCAAUUUUAGGGGGAUUUUGGGGUUUUUAUGUGGAGAACCCCCCCUAAAUGGGGCUGAGGGACCCCAAUAUGGGGGGUUUGGGGGGGAACACCCCAAUUUUGGGGGGAUUUCAGGGCAUUUGGGGGUUUUUAUGUGGAGAACCCCCCCUGAAAUAGGGAGAGGGACCCCAAUAUGGGGGGUUUUUUGGGGGGGAACACCCCAAUUUUGGGGGGGGAUUUUGGGGUUUUUAUGUGGAGAACCGCCUGUAAAUGGAGCUGAGGGUCGCCAGUAUGUGAGGUUUGUGGGGGGAGUCUUCAAUUUUGGUGGAAUUUAAGGGGAUUUUGGGGUGAAUUGGGGGUUUUUAUGAGGAGAACCCCCCUUAAAUGGAGCUGAGGGACCCCAGUGUGUGGGAUUUUGGGGUUUUUUUGGGGUUUUUAUGAGGCUAUUCCCCCCUUUUUCCCCCCCCCCUCUCACCGUUCCUUGCUGCUCCGCUCCCUCCUGAGCGCGACGUACCGGGUGUGGCGCGAGGGCGUGGCGCGACGUCGUGCUGCGUCGUGACGUCACCGCGACGUAAAAAACGGGCGUGGCCUGGCGGGAUGCCCGGAUGUGGGGUGUGACGUCACCGCGGUUAUGGAUGGGGGCGGGGCGUGGCGGCGUGCCACCAUGGGGCGGUUUUGGGGCUAUUUUGGGGCUGUUUUGGGUCUAUUUGGGGCAGUUCAAGGUUAGGGGGGGGGGGGGGGGCGGCAUUUUGGGGCUGUUUGGGGCUGGAAUGUGACUAUGGGGCCCUGUGGGGUAAUGAGACCCACAGAGGGGAGUGGGGCGACCCGUGGGGGUGAUGGGCUGCGCCGUGUGGGGCCUCAUAGGGGGAUUCCGAGCUUCGGAUGGCGCCUAUAGAGCCCCGCAGGGAGGGGGCUGCUCCAUUGGGGCCCUAUAGGGGGGUGCGGGGGGGGGGGCUCCAAUUGGGACCCUAUAGUGGGGAUAGACCCUAAUGGAGCCCUAUAGUGGGGAUAGACCCUAAUGGAGCCCUAUAGUGGGGAUAGACCCGAAUGGAGCCCUAUAGUGGGGAUAGACCCGAAUGGAGCCCUAUAGUGGGGAUAGACCCGAAUGGAGCCGCACCAUUGAGAGACCCCCGCGGGGACCCACCCGGGACAGUGGGGAGGGGCCCGGCCGGGGUCGUCCUACCCCACGGCGGUGGGAGGGGGAAGG
RNAcentral lists this long non-coding RNA (1206 nucleotides) under Coturnix japonica (Japanese quail). RNAcentral describes it as "lncRNA (ENSCJPG00005001909.1)". Lineage: Eukaryota; Metazoa; Chordata; Aves; Galliformes; Phasianidae. The record is from RNAcentral.